RNAcentral lists this ribosomal RNA (633 nucleotides) under uncultured eukaryote. RNAcentral describes it as "SSU rRNA". It matches the Rfam family "Eukaryotic small subunit ribosomal RNA", at positions 341 to 999 of the family's 1831-position model. The record is from RNAcentral.
CUACCACGGCAGUCACGGGUAACGGAGAAUUAGGGUUCGAUUCCGGAGAGGGAGCCUGAGAAACGGCUACCACAUCUACGGAAGGCAGCAGGCGCGCAAAUUGCCCAAUCCCGACACGGGGAGGCAGUGACAAGAAAUAACAACUCUAGGUUUUCUUAGAAGUGUAAUGAGGAUAAUUUACAAACCUUACCAAAUGCAAUUGGAGGGCAAGUCUGGUGCCAGCAGCCGCGGUAAUUCCAGCUCCAAUAGCGUAUAUUAAAGUUGUUGCAGUUAAAAAGCUCGUAGUUGGAAAUCUGAUUGCUCAGGUCUCCAGCCUUUAGGCGGGGAUUCUGACAGUCAUCCGCUUGCAAACAUAUGUUCGAUCUUCACCGGUUGGCUAUGUGAGUAAGCACUUUACCUUGAGAAAAACAGAGUGUUCCAGGCAGGUUUGUCCGGAAUGCAUUAGCAUGGAAUAAUAGAACAUGACUGAAGUCUAUUUAUUGGUUAAAGGCUUUAGUAAUGAUUAAUAGGAACAGUCGGGGGCAUUCGUACUCAGCAGUCAGAGGUGAAAUUCUAAGAUUUGCUGAAGACGAACUAAUGCGAAAGCAUUUGCCAAGGAUGUUUUCAUUAAUCAAGAAUGAAAGUUAGGGGAUC